UACGUAGGAGGCGAGCGUUGUCCGGAGUUAUUGGGCGUAAAGGGUGCGUAGGUAGUCCGAUAAGUUAGCCGUGGGAAAUCGGGGCCUAACCUUGCGGAAGCUGCUAAUACUGUGGGACUAAGAGGACAGGAGAGGUUAACGGAACUCUCUGUGGAGCGGUGAAAUGCGUAGAUAUAGGGAAGAACACCAAAGAGGCGAAGGCAGUUAACUAUUCUGAUCCUGACAUUGAGGCACGAAAGCGUGGGGAGCAAAGCGG
RNAcentral lists this ribosomal RNA (256 nucleotides) under uncultured bacterium. Its description in RNAcentral is "partial 16S ribosomal RNA". It matches the Rfam family "Bacterial small subunit ribosomal RNA", at positions 524 to 776 of the family's 1533-position model. The record is from RNAcentral.